RNAcentral lists this ribosomal RNA (497 nucleotides) under uncultured bacterium. RNAcentral describes it as "partial 16S ribosomal RNA". It matches the Rfam family "Bacterial small subunit ribosomal RNA", at positions 28 to 507 of the family's 1533-position model. The record is from RNAcentral.
GAUGAACGCUGGCGGCGUGCCUAAUACAUGCAAGUCGAGCGAACGGACGAGAAGCUUGCUUCUCUGAUGUUAGCGGCGGACGGGUGAGUAACACGUGGAUAACCUACCUAUAAGACUGGGAUAACUUCGGGAAACCGGAGCUAAUACCGGAUAAUAUUUUGAACCGCAUGGUUCAAAAGUGAAAGACGGUCUUGCUGUCACUUAUAGAUGGAUCCGCGCUGCAUUAGCUAGUUGGUAAGGUAACGGCUUACCAAGGCAACGAUGCAUAGCCGACCUGAGAGGGUGACCGGCCACACUGGAACUGAGACACGGUCCAGACUCCUACGGGAGGCAGCAGUAGGGAAUCUUCCGCAAUGGGCGAAAGCCUGACGGAGCAACGCCGCGUGAGUGAUGAAGGUCUUCGGAUCGUAAAACUCUGUUAUUAGGGAAGAACAUAUGUGUAAGUAACUGUGCACAUCUUGACGGUACCUAAUCAGGAAGCCACGGCUAACUACGUG